RNAcentral lists this ribosomal RNA (399 nucleotides) under uncultured fungus. RNAcentral's name for it is "partial small subunit ribosomal RNA". The stretch from base 192 to 399 matches the Rfam family "Eukaryotic small subunit ribosomal RNA", at positions 660 to 864 of the family's 1831-position model. Lineage: Eukaryota; Fungi. The record is from RNAcentral.
GGUUAUGGGUCCCAGUUCUCUUCUAUUAAUUUUUUUCCAUUCGUGGUCUAACGUUAGGAAGAGAGGGAAAAAGGAAAAAGGAGGUAUCCCCUUUUUUUUCUUUUAUUUCUUGGGAAGGAAUUAUUUUAAAAAUGGGAUUAGGGGCCAGAGUUUGGGAGGGGUUUUACCUUUUUUCAUCUUUGUGUUUCUUUUCUUGUUUUGAUUCCUUGAUAAUCUGUAGCCAUCCUCGAGAUUUUAAGGAAUACGCAUGGCAUUAAGUUGUCGUGUGUAUGACUCUCGUCAUUUACUGUGAGCAAAAUAGAGUGUUCAAAGCAGGCAUUUUUUAUGCCAUUGAAUAUAUUAGCAUGGAAUAAUAAGAUAGGACCUUGGUCUAAUUUUGUUGGUUUGUAUUCCAAGGUA